RNA transcript from Manis pentadactyla (Chinese pangolin), 4759 nucleotides. It is a transcript of the gene named HPS3 biogenesis of lysosomal organelles complex 2 subunit 1, with no coding region annotated. The transcript is spliced from 17 exons. Lineage: Eukaryota; Metazoa; Chordata; Mammalia; Pholidota; Manidae. The record is from RefSeq and is a predicted model, not a curated record.
GGUGCUACUGCUCGCAGAGCACCUGCCCCGCCGGGUAGCAGCCUCUUUAAGAAACCCAGCCGCAGGCAGGCCCGCCUGACGCUCACGUGACCCGACUCAGCGCAGUCGCUUCCGGAAGUGGUCCAGCCUCCGCGGAGGGCGCGGGGUCUCCGGACGCCCCGCGGGGCGGGCAGGCCGAAGUGGGCACCGCCGGGGCCGCCUGGAGCUUGUCGCCGGGAUGGUACAGCUCUACAACCUGCAUCCGUUCGGGUCGCAGCAGGUGGUGCCGUGCAAGCUGGAGCCCGAGCGGUUCUGUGGCGGAGGAAGCGACGUGCUAUUCGCGGCGGCAGGAUGCAAGGUGGAGGCAUUCGCCAUAAUGGGCCAGGAACUGUGUCAGCCGAGGUGCGCCUUCUCCACGCUGGGCAGGGUGCUGCGCCUGGCCUACAGCGAAGCCGGAGACUAUUUGGUAGCAAUUGAAGAGAAAAACAAAGCUACAUUUGUACGUGCUUAUGGGAAUUGGAGAAGUAAAAGGACUGAAAACUCUCGAGUGUGUAUCCGAAUGGUUGGACAUACUGUGGAAUCACCCUUCAGCGAAACCUUCAGAGACCAGAUGUCUAUUGUUGAAAUGCCGCUUUCUGAGGCCCCCUUGUGCAUUUCUUGUUGCCCUGUGAAAGGAGACCUUCUUGUUGGCUGCACAAAUCAGUUAGUCUUAUUUAGUUUGAAGUAUCAGAUCAUUAAUGAGGAAUUCUCAGUAUUGGACUUUGAACAUUCUUUAGUUAUACACAUAGAUAAUAUCACUCCUGUUGAAGUUUCUUUUUGUGCUGGAUAUGUUGCUGUCAUGUCAGAUUUAGAAGUCUUAGUCCUGAAACUGGAGUCAGACCCCAAAAAUGGAGAGAGUAUUAACUAUCCACGUAAGACGAACAAUCCAAUGAAACAGACAAAAGGUAUCAGUAAUGAAACUUUGCCACCUGAGUCAGAUGAUUUUGUCUUCUGCCAAAAGCCCAUAGAACUUCUUGGUGAAAAAAGUGAACAGUCUGGAGUAUCUGUUAGACUGGAGUCAACAGGAUUAGCUGAAGAAAAAAUAAAAUAUUUCCAUGUUCAGCACCUGCUCUAUAAACGUUUUGCUCCUGAUAUUUCAUCCUGUGUCUUGUCUGAUGACAUCAAGUUGCAUUCACUUCAGCUGCUACCCAUUUACCAAACAAGCUCUCUUACUUCUGUUAGAAAAAAUUCAUGUCAGGAAAAAGAGUUGCUGAGUCUGUUUUGUUUUUUCUCAUUACCUCAUGUGGGCUAUCUCUACGUGGUUGUCAAAUCUGUUGAGUUAAUAUCAGUUUACCAAUAUCCUGAGAAGUCUCAACAGGCAGUGCUCACGCCACAAUUUUUGCAUGUCAUCACAAGUAACAGCCUGCAGUGUUUCACAGUGCGGUGCAGUGCAGCGGCCGCUCGGGAGGAGGACCCGUAUGUGGACACCACCGUGAAGGCUUGCCCACCUGUCAGUAUGGAUGUCUGUGCAUUAAGAAUACAGCUUUUCAUAGGUUUGAAAGCCAUCUGUCACUUUAAAAACCAUGUCAUACUUUUGACCAAGGCAGACCCUGAGGCCAGUCCAGAGAGAAGAAAGUCGCCCAAGAGGCUUCCUUCUAGAAAAGGUACCAGUGUUAAGCUCAAAACAUCUCCUGUAGCUGAGGCUGGGUGGAAUUUGUAUAUUGUGAAUACGAUCUCACCAGUGCAACUAUACAGAGAAAUGGUAGACUACAGUAAUACCUACAAAAAUGCAAAAACCCAGAGCUGUAUCCACCUACUUAGUGAGGCUCAUCUGUUAGUGAGAGCUGCUCUGAUGGAUGCCAGUCAGUUGGAACCUGGAGAAAAAGCAGAGCUUCUAGAAGCAUUUAAAGAAAGCUGUGGGCACCUUGGAGACUGUUACAGCCGGCUUGACACCCAGCACUCGCACCUUGCCUUGCCAUACUAUAAGAUGUCUGGUUUGUCUAUGGCUGAAGUUUUGGCUCGAGUGGACUGGUCAGUAGAGGAUGGAUCACAGAAAUACGAAAGGGGAUUAAUCUUUUACAUUAGUCAUUCACUUUAUGAAAACCUGGAUGAAGAAUUAAGUGAAGAAUUAGCAGCAAAAGUGGCUCAGAUGUUUCAUGUGGCUGAGCCAAAGCAACUGCCCCAUGUUCUCUGUAGUCCUUCUAUGAAGAAUAUUAAUCCUUUAACUGCCAUGAACUAUCUAAGGAAGCUGGAUAUUUCUGGGUUUUCCUCGAUCUUAGUGACACUGACCAAAGCAUCAAUGGCUCUGAAAAUGGGAGAUCUUGACAUGCACAGAAACGAGAUGAAAAGCCAUUCAGAGAUGAAGUUCGUAUGUGGCUUCAUUCUGGAACCUCAGCUGUUAAUUCAACACAGGAAGGGACAGAUUGUUCCAACUGAGUUUGCAUUUCACUUAAAGGAGGCUCAGCCUGGAUUGCUUGUGGCUUCAGUCCUGGGCUUACAGAAAAACAACAAAAUUGGAAUUGAAGAAGCAGAUUCCUUCUUUAAGGUGCUUUGUGAUAAGGAUGAAGAUAGGAUUCCUCAGCUCUUGGUAGACUUUUGGGAAGCUCAGCUGGUGGCAUGCCUCCCAGACGUGGUACUUCAGGAGCUCUUUUUCAAGCUGACGUCACAGUACAUCUGGAGGUUAUCUAAGAGGCAGCUCCCUGAUACCAUACCAUUGCGGACAUCAGAGGAUCUGAUAAAUGCCUGUAGUCAUUAUGGCUUAAUCUCUCCAUGGGUUAAUGUCUUAAUAUCAUCCAAUAACUUAGCUGAUCAUAAUUAUACAGAAGACCUUUCAAAAUUACAGUCUCUUAUAUGCAGUCCUUCAUUUGACAUAGCUUCCAUUAUUCCGUUCUUGGAGCCACUGUCAGAGGACACAGUUGCUGGCCUCAGUGUCCGUGUUCUGUGUCGUACACGUUUGAAAGAGUAUGAACAGUGCAUAGAUACGCUCUUAGAGAGAUGCCCAGAGGCAAUCAUUCCAUAUGCUAAUUAUGAACUGAAAGAAGAGAAUCGGAUAGACUUUGUGGUGGAAAAAACUGCUGCCUGAACUUUGUCAGAGAAUAAAAUGUGGUGGAGAGAAAUACCAUCUUUACCUGUCAUCAUUAAAAGAAACAUUGUCAACUGUUGCUGUGGAACUAGAACUAAGGGAUUUCUUGAAUGUCCUCCCAGAAGAUGGCACUGUAGCAUUUUUCUUGCCAUACCUUCUUUACUGCAGUAGAAAGAAAUAACUGACUUAAAGGUAUCAUUUGAAAAAUACCACAAUACCAUGUGAGACUGAAUUUUUAAAGUUCAAUAGCAGGUAAAAUAAAGGAUUUUCAAAUUGAAUAUAUACAUAUAUUAAAAUGCUUUCAGGCAGCUUACCUUACCAUGUAAUGGUAUUAUUAGUUUCUUAAUUUAUGACCUGAAUCCAUUUAAUUGUCCAGAAUGUAAAAAAGCUAUAAGACAUAAGAAUUUCCUCAAAUAAGGCAUCUAUUUUUAAGGUAGAGACUGGUUUUUAUUCCAAGGAACAUCAAUUCACUGUUUUGGGAGACUUGACAAUAUUUUUUGUCCCAGAAACACAAGGAAACAUUUUUUAAGUAUGUUUGAAAGAAUGUCACAGAAUUUAAUCUUCCUGAUUUUUCCAGAUUUCUCUUUUGGGUCACUUUUUAAAAAUACCAUUUUCUUUGAGAAAGAUGUUAAAGGUUUCCCACAGUAAGGGAUUUCAAACUUUAAUUUCUUGUUACAUUUAAAACUCAUGCUGUUUCUCUCUGAAUCAAAUGAAGUAGAAGUAUACAAAGCUAACUUUCUUAUCUGGCUAUUAACAUAAUUUGUUGAAUGUAUGUUUUCCAGCCAGCCUUGAUUCUGUUCUUUGUUUUGUACUCUGCUCUUUUAGCUAGAGUAUAUGUGAAAGUAAAUAAAUAUAUCAUUGUAUUCACAACUAUGUCUUCUUUUUAAUCUCUUAUUUAAAAAUUUUGAAUCCAAGUUCAGCCAAUUGACAGGGUGCCUUGACUUUAGUCAAGGCUGGGCAGAAAUGCCAUUCCCCUAGUGUCUGUCAUAACUGUGUUUUGAAACUUUUCCCUGGUGGCAGUGUUCAUCUUCACCAGAAGUUAACCUAUCAAACUGUUUCUAAAUUGUGUCUUUCUCCAGUUUCAGAUUAACACCCUUUUGACCAUCUCUUCAAGGGUUCACAAAACUCAGAUUGGUAUUUUUAUUUUAUGUCAUUAAAAUUUUUUUUAAAUUAUUUAUUUUUAAAUUUAUUUUUAUUUUUUAAUUUAAUUUUUUAUUUUACUUCCUCAACACCUGUGCCUUUUGCCCACUGGUUCAUUAAAAAUGAUGUCAGCAGCAUGUUGGAGGAAUUGAUGGGAAGCCAAUGGUUGGAAACGUUUCAACGAAUCUUAAUAAUGGUCCUUAUCCUUUGAGCACCAUCAAGGAUAACAUACAUAUAUAUAUAUAGUGUGUGUGUGUGUAUGUACAUGCGUGUGUGUGUGAAUAGUUUGUAAAGCCAUAAUCAUGGUGAUGUGAGUGGCUUAUGUGAAUUAAUUAUAUUACCUAGUGUAUUAGAUCAGUCAUAAUAUAGUCUGUUGAUCUUUUCAUAUGAAACAAGGUAACACCGUUUCCCCAACAGAUGCACAGAAGUGUGUUUUCAUUCUUUUUUAAUGUUUAUAGCCAUUCAAAAAUAAACAUUCUAUUCAGCACUUCACAUACAGUGUGUAUGAAUCAUUUUUUUUCUUUUUUUCACUUAUCACCAAAUUAUUUCUUUCAGCCAGACUUGGUCUCUAUAGAAAAA